GGCUUGAUAUUUCGGAAAUAUGGGACCUUGAACGUCCCUCUUAGAUGUUCAACUCAUCUUCAAGCCU
Molecule: transfer RNA, 67 nt
Filed under: Dendrobaena veneta
Lineage: Eukaryota; Metazoa; Annelida; Clitellata; Crassiclitellata; Lumbricidae
Description: tRNA-Ser
Source: RNAcentral